This is a long non-coding RNA of Hypomesus transpacificus, 1039 nucleotides long. RefSeq lists it as uncharacterized. The record is from RefSeq and is a predicted model, not a curated record. Lineage: Eukaryota; Metazoa; Chordata; Actinopteri; Osmeriformes; Osmeridae. The transcript is spliced from 3 exons.
GACAGAAAAGCACCUUAGACCCGUUUCUCAAUUUUUCAUUCUAAGGGCGCUCUACAAAUGCUCUUAGAACGUUAUUAAGAAGAUCUUAGCGUUAAGCUUGUUAACGAAUCUGGGAAACCCGGCCAAGAUAAGUACCUAAUUAGUCUUCCAAACAGGUUUUCAGUAAAUCAGGUUUGAUGAUAGUCAGGUGAUAAUCAUGAUGAAUAUUGUCAUUUUACAUGAUCAAGGCUUCAAUUCGACAUAAGAUAAUUUAAAUGCAACAUAAAUUGAAUGAUCUUGUGUAAAAGUGUAAAUGGGCAAAUCAGAGAACAGGAAAGAUUGUUUCUGGUGUUUUGUCCUUUGUUAUCAGUGCUUAGAAUCUGAACACUGAAAAGAAAAUUAUUUGCUUUGAUAAUGCAUUGGGCCUGAAUCAAGAGGACACAUCUGUUUUAUCUGUGUACAUAAACACACAUACACACACACAGCAUCAUGACAGCCUACAACCAACGCAUUGUUUGUUAGUCCCUCAACAGAUACAACACAUUAAAUGGCGUGUGUGGAAUGAAAUGUACAGAAUCUGGCAGUGCUGACUCCAGAUGAUGAUGAGGCAACUGGAGAGUACACUAGUUCAUUUCCUCUAUGAGGAGCAGCUCGCACUAACAGGAAAUACCUCUUUUCCCAGUUGCCAAUCCGCUUUAUGAGGUUUGGGGAUGUUUCCCAUGUUUUAUGGCAACAGUAUUGUUUUCUCUAGAGUCUGCAGAGCCAUGCCAUGUAAAAGGGAGCUAUAUGCCAUCAAAAUGGAACCAAGCAAUUAUGAGUAUUGCAGGCGACUGCAAAAACCUAGUUGCAACCUCGGUUGCUAUUUCAGCGGUCUGUCCCACCUGGAUGUUGAGGCGACCCCUGUGAGCUCCAAGCCCGUAGCGUCCCAUGGUGGAGGCAUGAAGCUGGAAGUCAUCAAUCUUCAGUGUCUCCAGUCCCAUCGGAGGGCAUUCUAUGAAAAAAAAGAAGAAAAAAACUAGGCCUGCACAAUCUUCUCCCUCCUGCCCAAGGCUUACGGAUG